Molecule: unclassified non-coding RNA, 626 nt
Filed under: uncultured bacterium
Lineage: Bacteria
Description: partial contains 16S ribosomal RNA, 16S-23S ribosomal RNA intergenic spacer, and 23S ribosomal RNA
Rfam family: Bacterial large subunit ribosomal RNA (bases 495-626)
Source: RNAcentral
UGCGGCUGGAUCCCCUCCUUUCUAGAGAAUUGCCCGAGCAUUCGGGCGUCCACACUUAUCGGCUGUAGGAAGCCAAGCCGAACGGGUCUGUAGCUCAGUUAGUUAGAGCACACGCUUGAUAAGCGUGGGGUCGGUGGUUCAAGUCCACCCAGACCCACCAACUGAGCCCCCAGGGCAAAAGCCUCGAGGGGCCAUAGCUCAGCUGGGAGAGCGCCUGCUUUGCAAGCAGGAGGUCACCGGUUCGAUCCCGGUUGGCUCCACCAGCCUUCUUGAAUUUUCAGAACGUGACGGCAUCUUUGCCGGUUGCGUUUGUGUUUCGGCUGCUCUUUAACAAUUCGGAAGAAGCAAGGCGAGUCCGGUUCGUAACUUCUGAGCCGGGCUCAUCUGGGUAUGAGAUUGCAUUAUUUGCGCUCGCGGUUAGUCGCCGCGAAACGCAAGCCAAGCGCACUCUGUGAUCCGAAAGCGAACUGCGCGAGCAGUGCUCAGGGUUAUAGGGUCAAGUGAGAAAGUGCAUGUGGUGGAUGCCUUGGCGACGACAGGCGACGAAGGACGUUGCAGCCUGCGAUAAGCCUCGGGGAGCUGGCAAGCGAGCUUUGAUCCGAGGAUUUCCGAAUGGGGAAACCCGG